This 73-nucleotide transfer RNA is filed under the name Cricetulus griseus (Chinese hamster). It matches the Rfam family "tRNA". From Rfam's summary of the family: Transfer RNA (tRNA) molecules are approximately 80 nucleotides in length. Their secondary structure includes four short double-helical elements and three loops (D, anti-codon, and T loops). Further hydrogen bonds mediate the characteristic L-shaped molecular structure. tRNAs have two regions of fundamental functional importance: the anti-codon, which is responsible for specific mRNA codon recognition, and the 3' end, to which the tRNAs corresponding amino acid is attached (by aminoacyl-tRNA synthetases). tRNAs cope with the degeneracy of the genetic code in two manners: having more than one tRNA (with a specific anti-codon) for a particular amino acid; and 'wobble' base-pairing, i.e. permitting non-standard base-pairing at the 3rd anti-codon position. Lineage: Eukaryota; Metazoa; Chordata; Mammalia; Rodentia; Cricetidae. The record is from Rfam by way of RNAcentral.
GCCCAGCUAGCUCAGUCGGUAGAACAUGAGACUCUUAAUUUCAGGGUCUUGGGUUUGUAUCCCACGUUGGACA